RNAcentral lists this unclassified non-coding RNA (1305 nucleotides) under Hevea brasiliensis (rubber tree). Lineage: Eukaryota; Viridiplantae; Streptophyta; Magnoliopsida; Malpighiales; Euphorbiaceae. The record is from RNAcentral.
UCCCUAAAUCGCAAUAAUAGGACUGAGAAAAUUCCUGUAGCAUACUGAAAUAUGGCAGGUGACUGUGAAACUGAUGCUUUUAGUAAAACAUAUGAAAGAUAAGCCUUGACGGAGUCCAUAAACUGAAAGUUUUUCGUGAACGAAUCACUAACUCCCUCCAAAAGACCCUGAAGUAGCUCCAGGGACAAAAUACGUGUCUUAACAGUAACUUCAUCGUUGUCUUCCUUUAUGCCCAUCUUGCAAAGGGUUCGGAAAAGAAGUAAGGCAUCAUGCUCUCCAGGACUCAUGCUUUCAAGCUCAAUUCCUUUUGUGACCUUUUCACCAUCUCCAAGAUGCACAGCCUUCUCAAGAGCAGCUUCUAAACCCUUGAUAUCAGCCCCACCAACAAAACUCUGAAGUUCCUCAACUGAUGCAACAGAUGCAUCUUUAGCCUGAACAACGUUAGGUGCAUCUCCCCCUUCUGUUAUUUCUUUAUAUUCCGGAUCAUUAUGUGAAACUUCCUCAACCUUUACGUUUGGUCCAUUAGUAUCAGUAGUUUCUUGGUGUGCAACAGAUCCAUGUGAUCUAGAACCCAGAUCAUUUUCCAUCCGUCUGAAUAUAAUACUAAGCAUUUGUGUCAACAUGGCCUUUGAUGUUGCUUGGUUUAUAGGACUUUUGCUGUUAAGAGCAAUAUUGUAACAGACCCUGAUAACUCCGAGCAACGAUUCCCCAUGAACUCUAAACUUGGCGGAUGCUACAGCGGUAAGAAGUACCUUCAGAACCUGAAGAGUCGUACUAUCGGUAGACAAAUUAUCCACACAGCCACAGACCCUGUUCAGGAUGUCUGUAAACAGCGUCACAUUUUCCCCACCAUCUAAGCCAAGAUCUCCCUCUAGAUGGUCGUAGGCAAUCAGUUUAUGAAGACAAUCCAAAGCAAGCUCCAUGAUCUUUCCAUUCUUCGUCUCAAAAGCCAGCCGAAGUGGAUUUAGCACGAGUUCUGCCUGUGCUUGGCUUAAAGUAUUGCCUGCUUGAGCUAAAGCUGUCACUAUAGUUCCACUUUGGUUUGAUGGCCUGCUUAUCUGUUCUGCACCCUCACCACUAGGCAAAGCAGUAGUUGAGUCAACUGGUGCUGCUUCAUUUCCCGAGACUCCAGUGUCAGUAGAACUCUGAUCUACAGCUGAAGAUGUUGCAGCAUCACUCUCAGUGGAUAAGCUUUGCUGACUAGAUGCUUUUGAAUUGUCAAUAUAGGAUUGGAUAGCUAUCUGAAGAGCAGAAUACUUCUUAUUAGAACACUCUUUGAGCAUUGAUUCCAAUGCUCGAGUGAUG